AUCUCCGAGGUUAUCUCCGGAACUGCAAAUGCACUCCUCGGGGCUAUCUCCGAGGUUGAGACUAAAAUUCCCGGUGUUAUUUUUGGGAUUGAGUAUCUUGGGGUUAUCUCCGAGAUUGAAAAGGCUUCUCCGGUGAGAUUUCCAGAACUGAAACUGUUUUAUCCUCCAAGGUUAUCUCUGAAAGAUGAUUCUGCCCUCCUGCAAUGUUAGUAACAGGAAUGCAAAAUUUCGAGUGUCUACAGGACAUUUAUAGCCAUAUCUGACUGUGGGCUUAGUGCCUUUUUGGACUUUGAAUGGGC
Molecule: long non-coding RNA, 299 nt
Filed under: Panax ginseng (ginseng)
Lineage: Eukaryota; Viridiplantae; Streptophyta; Magnoliopsida; Apiales; Araliaceae
Description: long non-coding RNA (PGIN_LNC014328)
Source: RNAcentral